This 1535-nucleotide ribosomal RNA is filed under the name metagenome. RNAcentral describes it as "bacterial SSU rRNA". It matches the Rfam family "Bacterial small subunit ribosomal RNA". The record is from RNAcentral.
AGAAUUUGAUCUUGGUUCAGACUGAACGCUGGCGGCGUGGAUGAGACAUGCAAGUCGAACGAAAAGAGGAGCAAUCCUCUUUUAGUGGCGAAAGGGUUAGUAAGGCAUGAGUAAUGUGCUUUUUGCCUCGGAACAACGGUUGGAAACGGCCGCUAAUACCGGAUGAGGUCAUUGAACGGCAUCGUUUAAUGAUCAAUGGAGGGGAUCCUGAAAGGGACCUUCCGGCAGAUGAGAAGCUCAUGUGGUAUCAGCUAGUUGGUGUGGUAAUGGCGCACCAAGGCUAAGACGCCUAGGCGGAUUGAGAGAUUGACCGCCAACACUGGGACUGAGACACUGCCCAGACUCCUACGGGAGGCAGCAGUCGAGGAUAAUUCGCAAUGGACGAAAGUCUGACGAUGCGACGCCGCGUGAAUGAUGAAGGCCUUCGGGUUGUAAAGUUCUGUCGUCCUGGAACAAGAGUAGUCGGCAAAUAGCCGAUUACGAUGAGUGUACAGGGAAAGGAAGCACCGGCUAAUUCCGUGCCAGCAGCUGCGGUAAUACGGAAGGUGCAAGCGUUAGUCGGAAUUACUGGGCGUAAAGGGUGCGUAGGCUGUUUAGUAAGUCGGAUGUGAAAUUCCGGAGCUCAACUCCGGAACUGCCUCCGAAACUGCUUUACUUGAGGAAUGGCGGAGAAAAUGGAAUUCCAUGUGUAGCGGUGAAAUGCGUAGAUAUAUGGAAGAACACCUGUGGCGAAAGCGGUUUUCUAGCCUUCUCCUGACGCUGAGGCACGAAAGCAAGGGGAGCAAACAGGAUUAGAUACCCUGGUAGUCCUUGCCUUAAACUAUGUAUACUUGAUGUAGCUGGGCUCAACCCUGGCUGUGUCGUAGCUAACGCGAUAAGUAUACCGCCUGGGAAGUACGCCCGCAAGGGUGAAACUCAAAAGAAUUGACGGGGACCCGCACAAGCAGUGGAGUAUGUGGUUUAAUUCGAUCCACGCGAAGAACCUUACCUGGUCUUGACAUGCAAGAGACCGCGGCAGAGAUGUCGCUUUCCCGCAAGGGACUGUUGCACAGGUGCUGCAUGGCUGUCGUCAGUUCGUGCCGUGAGGUGUUGGGUUAAGUCCCGCAACGAGCGCAACCCUUGUCGUUAGUUGCCAGCAUGUAAUGGUGGGCACUCUAGCGAGACUGCCUAGGUUAACUAGGAGGAAGGUGAGUAUGACGUCAAGUCCGCAUGGCCCUUAUGUCCAGGGCAACACACGUACUACAAUGGCCAGUACAGAAGGCAGCGAAACCGCGAGGUGGAGCAAAUCCCCAAAACUGGCCCCAGUUCAGAUUGCAGUCUGAAACUCGACUGCAUGAAGAUGGAAUUGCUAGUAAUGGCGAGUCAGCUAUAUCGCCGUGAAUACGUUCCCGGGUCUUGUACACACCGCCCGUCAAGUCAUGGGAGUUGGUUUUACCCGAAGUCGCUCACCCAACCGAAAGGGGGGAGGCGCCGAAGGUGAGGCUGAUGACUGGGACUAAGUAGUAACAAGGUAGCCCUACCGGAAGGUGGGGCUG